Molecule: ribosomal RNA, 433 nt
Filed under: uncultured bacterium
Lineage: Bacteria
Description: partial 16S ribosomal RNA
Rfam family: Bacterial small subunit ribosomal RNA
Source: RNAcentral
AACGAACGCUGGCGGCAUGCCUAACACAUGCAAGUCGGACGAGACCUUCGGGUCUAGUGGCGCACGGGUGCGUAACGCGUGGGAAUCUGCCCUUGGGUUCGGAAUAACAGUUGGAAACGACUGCUAAUACCGGAUGAUGACGUAAGUCCAAAGAUUUAUCGCCCAAGGAUGAGCCCGCGUAGGAUUAGCUAGUUGGUGAGGUAAAGGCUCACCAAGGCGACGAUCCUUAGCUGGUCUGAGAGGAUGAUCAGCCACACUGGGACUGAGACACGGCCCAGACUCCUACGGGAGGCAGCAGUGGGGAAUAUUGGACAAUGGGCGAAAGCCUGAUCCAGCAAUGCCGCGUGAGUGAUGAAGGCCUUAGGGUUGUAAAGCUCUUUUACCCGGGAUGAUAAUGACAGUACCGGGAGAAUAAGCGCCGGCUAACUCCGUG